Molecule: ribosomal RNA, 518 nt
Organism: Marchantia polymorpha subsp. polymorpha
Lineage: Eukaryota; Viridiplantae; Streptophyta; Marchantiopsida; Marchantiales; Marchantiaceae
Rfam family: Eukaryotic large subunit ribosomal RNA
Source: Rfam
AUAAUGGACUAAAAAAACCUGCUUAUUUGCACCCUGGAUUAUCGCCUGUGGCAGCCAAGCUUUCAUAGCCACGUCGAUUUUUUAUCCUUAGAUGUAGGCUCUUCCUAUAAUUGUAAAGCAGAAGUCACCAAGUGUUGGAUUGUUCACCCACCAAUAGUUAACGUGAGCUGGGUUUAGACCGUCGUGAGAGAGGUUAGUUUCACCCUACUGAUUACUUGGCGCCGCAAAAGUAAUUCAACUUAGUACGAGAUGAUUCACAUAAUUGGCAAUUGCGUUUGGUUGAAGCCAGCGACACGAAGCUACCAUGCGUAAGAUUCUGACUGAACGCCUCUAAGUCAGAAACCAUACUAGAAGCUAUAAUGGACUAAAAACAACCGCUUUUUUAACACACAUUGUAAAAUAAGAGACGGUGCACACCGCUGCUUACUUUAUAAAAUAAACAGUGGUGUGCACCGUCGCUUAUUUAAGGGCCUGUUCAGUGCACAACUCGCUCUCCCAUUUUUCUUCCGUCACCGAGU